RNAcentral lists this ribosomal RNA (115 nucleotides) under Firmicutes bacterium AM29-6AC. RNAcentral describes it as "partial 23S ribosomal RNA". It matches the Rfam family "Bacterial large subunit ribosomal RNA", at positions 1 to 114 of the family's 2925-position model. Lineage: Bacteria; Bacillati; Bacillota. The record is from RNAcentral.
UGGUUAUGCUGAUAAGAGCGUAUGGUGGAUGCCUUGGCACUAAGAGCCGAUGAAAGACGUGAUAAGCUGCGAAAAGCUUCGGGGAGGAGCAAAUAUCCUUUGAUCCGGAGAUUUC